AGGAGACAGGUGCUGCAUGGCUGUCGUCAGCUCGUGUCGUGAGAUGUUCGGGUUAAGUCCCGCAACGAGCGCAAACCCCUACGUUUAGUUGCUAACGCGUGAAGGCGAGCACUCUAGGACGAACUGCCGUUGACAAAACGGAGGAAGGUGGGAUGACGUCAAAUCAUCAUGCCCCUUAUGUUCUGGGCUACACACGUGCUACAAUGGCCGGUACAGACGGACGCAAAGCCGCGAGGUGGAGCAAAUCCUAAAAAGCCGGUCUCAGUUCGGAUUGCAGGCUGCAAUUCGCCUGCAUGAAGUCGGAAUCGCUAGUAAUCGCAGGUCAGCAUACUGCGGUGAAUACGUUCCCGGGCCUU
This 356-nucleotide ribosomal RNA is filed under the name uncultured Pelotomaculum sp. RNAcentral describes it as "bacterial SSU rRNA". It matches the Rfam family "Bacterial small subunit ribosomal RNA", at positions 1029 to 1382 of the family's 1533-position model. The record is from RNAcentral. Lineage: Bacteria; Bacillati; Bacillota; Clostridia; Eubacteriales; Desulfotomaculaceae.